This 263-nucleotide long non-coding RNA is filed under the name Pavo cristatus (Indian peafowl). RNAcentral describes it as "lncRNA (ENSPSTG00000000790.1)". The record is from RNAcentral. Lineage: Eukaryota; Metazoa; Chordata; Aves; Galliformes; Phasianidae.
CCAGAGAUUUCACUGAAAUAUUUCUGAUCCUCAUUUUGCUUUGUCUGAGUAGAACCUCCAAGACAGACCCUGAUGUAAUUACUUCAUCACGUGAGAAGGGCUGUGCAGAAGUACUGGUCUGGCUCUCCUGGACCAGAAGUCUAAGGACAAAUCCCAAGCAGCUGCAAUGCGAAUUCUGCCCUGACCCACUCCCUGCCAGACCAGAGCUGUCAGGACUGUGGGAUGUGGCUGAGGACAGUCCUGGCAGAAGGGAGUGCCUUUGA